GGGGAUGACGGGUUUUGACAUUAUAAAUACAAAAUUUUAAUUUUUAAAAAAAAGACAUGAAAUUAAAUAAUUUAGUAAAUUCAACAAGAAUAUACAAUAUUAAAUAAUUAUAAUUUAAAAAAUACAAAAUAUUAACUAAUAAAUCAUGUAAUAUAAAUAUAUAAAAUUAUAAUGAAUGUGAGUUCAACUCUCACCAUCUCCACCA
RNAcentral lists this transfer RNA (205 nucleotides) under Candidatus Carsonella ruddii PV. Its description in RNAcentral is "transfer-messenger RNA Carso_ruddi_PvePV". Lineage: Bacteria; Pseudomonadati; Pseudomonadota; Gammaproteobacteria; Oceanospirillales; Halomonadaceae. The record is from RNAcentral.